Molecule: ribosomal RNA, 253 nt
Filed under: uncultured bacterium
Lineage: Bacteria
Description: partial 16S ribosomal RNA
Rfam family: Archaeal small subunit ribosomal RNA
Source: RNAcentral
UACCAGCACCCCGAGUGGUCGGGACGAUUAUUGGGCCUAAAGCAUCCGUAGCCGGUCCUGCAAGUCUUCCGUUAAAUCCAGCUGCUCAACAGAUGGGCUGCGGGGGAUACUACAUGGCUAGGAGGCGGGAGAGGCAAGCGGUACUUUAUGGGUAGGGGUAAAAUCCGUUGAUCCAUAGAAGACCACCAGUGGCGAAGGCGGCUUGCCAGAACGCGCUCGACGGUGAGGGAUGAAAGCGUGGGGAGCGAUCCGG